GGAUGCGAUCAUACCAGCACUAAUGCACCGGAUCCCAUCAGAAACUCCGAAGUUAAGCGUGUUGGGCGAGAGUAGUACUAGGAUGGGUGACCCCCUGGGAAGUCCUCGUGUUGCAUCCC
Molecule: ribosomal RNA, 119 nt
Filed under: Ipomoea nil (Japanese morning glory)
Lineage: Eukaryota; Viridiplantae; Streptophyta; Magnoliopsida; Solanales; Convolvulaceae
Source: RNAcentral